RNAcentral lists this non-coding RNA (188 nucleotides) under Vicinamibacteria bacterium. Its description in RNAcentral is "6S RNA". It matches the Rfam family "6S / SsrS RNA". Rfam says of the family: E. coli 6S RNA was the first non coding RNA to be sequenced, but its function was unknown until recently. It consists of 184 nucleotides that fold into an extended hairpin structure with a large single-stranded internal bulge. The 6S RNA specifically associates with RNA polymerase holoenzyme containing the sigma70 specificity factor. Lineage: Bacteria; Pseudomonadati; Acidobacteriota; Vicinamibacteria. The record is from RNAcentral.
GGCCCUCUGAGUUGUUCGUCAUGGGGUCGGUGGACCGAGGAACCAAUGUUGCUCUCUCGGGGUCUUAACCGUCGUCUUGCGGUGUGCAUGCCUCCGCGUUGAGGAAGCCUAAAGCGAGCGCAAGACCCCACCCUUUGCGCUCAGGUUCCGUGAGCGCCACCGACGUCAGACGGCAGCCCGGAGGGCUU